Molecule: ribosomal RNA, 331 nt
Filed under: uncultured bacterium
Lineage: Bacteria
Description: bacterial SSU rRNA
Rfam family: Bacterial small subunit ribosomal RNA
Source: RNAcentral
AUUGAACGCUGGCGGCAGGCCUAACACAUGCAAGUCGAGCGGUAGAGAGGUGCUUGCAUCUCUUGAGAGCGGCGGACGGGUGAGUAAUGCCUAGGAAUCUGCCUAGUGGUGGGGGAUAACGUUCGGAAACGGACGCUAAUACCGCAUACGUCCUACGGGAGAAAGCGGGGGGAUCUUCGGACCUCGCGCCAUUAGAUGAGCCUAGGUCGGAUUAGCUAGUUGGUGAGGUAAUGGCUCACCAAGGCGACGAUCCGUAACUGGUCUGAGAGGAUGAUCAGUCACACUGGAACUGAGACACGGUCCAGACUCCUACGGGAGCAGCAGUGGGGAA